Molecule: non-coding RNA, 171 nt
Filed under: Lotharella globosa
Lineage: Eukaryota; Cercozoa; Chlorarachniophyceae
Source: RNAcentral
CAUUUCCUUUAUUCUUUUUGUUUUUGUUGCCUGUGUGUUGUUGUUGUGGGUUGUUUGGCUUGCCCCAUCCAACCAGCAAUAACAACAACAUCAGCAACAACAACAAAAGAGGACAAAAAGGAAAAAAGAGCGGGACGCAAAAAAGCGCCUCAAAAAAAAAAAAAAAAAAAA